AGAGUUUGAUCCUGGCUCAGGAUGAACGCUGGCGGCGUGCCUAACACAUGCAAGUCGAGCGAUCUUCUUCGGAAGAGAGCGGUGGACGGGUGAGUAACGCGUGGGUAACCUGCCUCAUACACAUGGAUAACAUACCGAAAGGUAUGCUAAUACAAGAUGAUAUAAGAGAUUCGCAUGGAUUUCUUAUCAAAGCUCCGGCGGUAUGAGAUGGACCCGCGUCUGAUUAGCUAGUUGGUAAGGUAACGGCUUACCAAGGCGACGAUCAGUAGCCGACCUGAGAGGGUGAUCGGCCACAUUGGAACUGAGACACGGUCCAAACUCCUACGGGAGGCAGCAGUGGGGAAUAUUGCACAAUGGGCGAAAGCCUGAUGCAGCAACGCCGCGUGAGCGAUGAAGGCCUUCGGGCCGUAAAGCUCUGUCCUCAAGGAAGAUAAUGACGGUACUUGAGGAGGAAGCCCCGGCUAACUACGUGCCAGCAGCCGCGGUAAUACGUAGGGGGCUAGCGUUAUCCGGAUUUACUGGGCGUAAAGGGUGCGUAGGUGGUUUCUUAAGUCAGGAGUGAAAGGCUACGGCUCAACCGUAGUAAGCUCUUGAAACUGGGAAACUUGAGUGCAGGAGAGGAAAGUGGAAUUCCUAGUGUAGCGGUGAAAUGCGUAGAUAUUAGGAGGAACACCAGUAGCGAAGGCGGCUUUCUGGACUGUAACUGACACUGAGGCACGAAAGCGUGAGGAGCAAACAGGAUUAGAUACCCUGGUAGUCCACGCCGUAAACGAUGAGUACUAGGUGUCGGGGGUUACCCCCCUCGGUGCCGCAGCUAACGCAUUAAGUACUCCGCCUGGGGAGUACGCUCGCAAGAGUGAAACUCAAAGGAAUUGACGG
RNAcentral lists this ribosomal RNA (879 nucleotides) under uncultured bacterium. RNAcentral's name for it is "bacterial SSU rRNA". It matches the Rfam family "Bacterial small subunit ribosomal RNA", at positions 8 to 916 of the family's 1533-position model. The record is from RNAcentral.